CUACGUGCCAGCAGCCGCGGUAAUACGUAGGUGGCAAGCGUUGUCCGGAAUUAUUGGGCGUAAAGCGCGCGCAGGCGGAUCAGUCAGUCUGUCUUAAAAGUUCGGGGCUUAACCCCGUGAUGGGAUGGAAACUGCUGAUCUAGAGUAUCGGAGAGGAAAGUGGAAUUCCUAGUGUAGCGGUGAAAUGCGUAGAUAUUAGGAAGAACACCAGUGGCGAAGGCGACUUUCUGGACGAAAACUGACGCUGAGGCACGAAAGCGUGGGUAGCAAACAGGAUUAGAUACCCUGGUAGUCCACGCCGUAAACGAUGAACACUAGGUGUCGGGAGGAAUUUCGGUGCCGGCGCAAACGCAAUAAGUGUUCCGCCUGGGGAGUACGUUCGCAAGAAUAAAACUCAAAGGAAUUGACGGGGACCCGCACAAGUAGCGGAGCAUGUGGUUUAAUUCGAAGCAACGCGAAGAACCUUACCUAAGCUUGACAUGGGGA
This 486-nucleotide ribosomal RNA is filed under the name uncultured bacterium. Its description in RNAcentral is "bacterial SSU rRNA". It matches the Rfam family "Bacterial small subunit ribosomal RNA", at positions 501 to 992 of the family's 1533-position model. The record is from RNAcentral.